This is a microRNA precursor of Monodelphis domestica (gray short-tailed opossum), 59 nucleotides long. The record is from Ensembl. NCBI's taxonomy places the organism in Eukaryota, Metazoa, Chordata, Mammalia, Didelphimorphia, Didelphidae.
CCGUGGUAUGGUUAGAAAGCUGCCUUGAUCAUAAUGGCAGCUUGCUGCCAUCCAUGUAU